UACGUAGGUGGCGAGCGUUGUCCGGAAUUACUGGGCGUAAAGAGCGCGUAGGCGGUUUUUUAAGUCAGAUGUGAAAAUCCAGGGCUUAACUCUGGGCGUGCAUUUGAAACUGGGGAACUAGAGUGCAGGAGAGGUAAGUGGAAUUCCUAGUGUAGCGGUGAAAUGCGUAGAUAUUAGGAGGAACACCAGUGGCGAAGGCGACUUACUGGACUGUAACUGACGCUGAGGCGCGAAAGCGUGGGUAGCGAACAGGAUUAGAUACCCUGGUAGUCCACGCCGUAAACGAUGGAUACUAGGUGUGGGAGGUAUCGACCCCUUCCGUGCCGCAGUAAACGCAAUAAGUAUCCCGCCUGGGGAGUACGGCCGCAAGGUUGAA
Molecule: ribosomal RNA, 376 nt
Filed under: uncultured bacterium
Lineage: Bacteria
Description: bacterial SSU rRNA
Rfam family: Bacterial small subunit ribosomal RNA
Source: RNAcentral